AGUGAACGCUGGCGGUAGGCCUAACACAUGCAAGUCGAACGGCAGCACAGUAAGAGCUUGCUCUUACGGGUGGCGAGUGGCGGACGGGUGAGGAAUACAUCGGAAUCUACUUUUUCGUGGGGGAUAACGUAGGGAAACUUACGCUAAUACCGCAUACGACCUACGGGUGAAAGCAGGGGAGCUUCGGACCUUGCGCGAUUGAAUGAGCCGAUGUCGGAUUAGCUAGUUGGCGGGGUAAAGGCCCACCAAGGCGACGAUGCGUAGCUGGUCUGAGAGGAUGAUCAGCCACACUGGAACUGAGACACGGUCCAGACUCCUACGGGAGGCAGCAGUGGGGAAUAUUGGGCAAUGGGCGCAAGCCUGAUCCAGCCAUACCGCGUGGGUGAAGAAGGCCUUCGGGUUGUAAAGCCCUUUUGUUGGGAAAGAAAAGCAGCAGGUUAAUAUCCCGCUGUUCUGACGGUACCCAAAGAAUAAGCACCGGCUAACUUCGUG
RNAcentral lists this ribosomal RNA (492 nucleotides) under uncultured bacterium. RNAcentral describes it as "partial 16S ribosomal RNA". It matches the Rfam family "Bacterial small subunit ribosomal RNA", at positions 29 to 507 of the family's 1533-position model. The record is from RNAcentral.